AUUGAACGCUGGCGGCAUGCUUUACACAUGCAAGUCGAACGGUAACAGGCCGCCAGGUGCUGACGAGUGGCGCACGGGUGAGUAAUGCAUCGGAACGUGCCCAGUCGGGGGGGGUAACUACUCGGAAGAGUAGCUAAUACCGCAUACGAUCUAUGGAUGAAAGCGGGGGACCGUAAGGCCUCGCGCGAUUGGAGCGGCCGAUGUCAGAUUAGGUAGUUGGUGGGGUAAAGGCUCACCAAGCCAACGAUCUGUAGCUGGUCUGAGAGGACGACCAGCCACACUGGGACUGAGACACGGCCCAGACUCCUACGGGAGGCAGCAGUGGGGAAUUUUGGACAAUGGGCGCAAGCCUGAUCCAGCAAUGCCGCGUGCAGGAAGAAGGCCUUCGGGUUGUAAACUGCUUUUGUACGGAACGAAACGGCUCUGGUUAAUACCCGGGGCUAAUGACGGUACCGUAAGAAUAAGCACCGGCUAACUACGUG
RNAcentral lists this ribosomal RNA (482 nucleotides) under uncultured bacterium. RNAcentral describes it as "partial 16S ribosomal RNA". It matches the Rfam family "Bacterial small subunit ribosomal RNA", at positions 30 to 507 of the family's 1533-position model. The record is from RNAcentral.